AGAGUUUGAUUAUGGCUCAGGAUGAACGCUGGCGGCGUGCCUAACACAUGCAAGUCGAACGGAGUUAUAUAACGGAAGUUUUCGGAUGGAAGAUAUGUAACUUAGUGGCGGACGGGUGAGUAACGCGUGGGCAACCUGCCCUGUACCGGGGGAUAACACUUAGAAAUAGGUGCUAAUACCGCAUAAGCGCACAGCUUCGCAUGAAGCAGUGUGAAAAACUCCGGUGGUACAGGAUGGACCCGCGUCUGAUUAGCUAGUUGGUGGGGUAGAGGCCCACCAAGGCGACGAUCAGUAGCCGGCCUGAGAGGGUGACCGGCCACAUUGGGACUGAGACACGGCCCAAACUCCUACGGGAGGCAGCAGUGGGGAAUAUUGCACAAUGGGGGAAACCCUGAUUGCAGCGACGCCGCGUGAGUGAAGAAGUAUUUCGGUACGUAAAGCUCUAUCAGCAGGGAAGAAAAUGACGGUACCUGAACUAAGAAGCCCCGGCUAACUACGUGCCAGCCGCCGC
This 511-nucleotide ribosomal RNA is filed under the name uncultured bacterium. RNAcentral describes it as "bacterial SSU rRNA". It matches the Rfam family "Bacterial small subunit ribosomal RNA", at positions 8 to 518 of the family's 1533-position model. The record is from RNAcentral.